AUCGGUUAUUAGAUUGACCAUCGAAUGCGUGAAGAUUAGGUGAUUCAGUUGAGAAAAAAUCGAUUAAACUAUAUUAUUUUUCAAUAGGUAAAAUUAAGCAAACUAGAAGCUUAACAUAAACGGCUUAACUGAAAAAAGUGAAUUGAUUAUAUAUUAUUAGUGACAAGAGAUUACGAAGGUUAUAAAAUAAGACUGAGCUAAAAUAUACUUUUAGAAAGUUCUUAAACAAAAGGCAUAAAAAGACUAUAG
RNAcentral lists this long non-coding RNA (249 nucleotides) under Ananas comosus (pineapple). RNAcentral's name for it is "long non-coding RNA (ACOM_LNC011221)". Lineage: Eukaryota; Viridiplantae; Streptophyta; Magnoliopsida; Poales; Bromeliaceae. The record is from RNAcentral.